Molecule: long non-coding RNA, 876 nt
Filed under: Cricetulus griseus (Chinese hamster)
Lineage: Eukaryota; Metazoa; Chordata; Mammalia; Rodentia; Cricetidae
Description: lncRNA (ENSCGRG00015032253.1)
Source: RNAcentral
UUGGUAUGGCUCUUUGGCAGUUCCGCUGUGUGACCCUGGUUGGGCACUGACCCCUCUGGGCAGCUAGGCAGUUAGAUCAUCCCCGAGGGCCACUGGCCCUGAGACUGGAGAGAAGACUUCCUCCUGUCGGGGGAAAUGCCCAUCAAUUGGAUGUGCGAGUCACCAGUCCCUCCACCUCGUGCCAGUCAGCCUUCAUCCAACAGCUGGUAGAAGCAGACACCCACAGCUAAACACUGAACUGAACUGGAAUCCAGUUGCCGAGAAGGACGAGUGAUGAGCAAAGAGGUCCACACCAGGCUGGUGAAACCCACAGAAACAGCUGACCUGAAUAACGGGGAGCUCUUGCUCCCCAGACUGAUAGCUGGGAAACCAGCAUUGGACUGAUCCAGACCCCCUGAAUGUGGGUGUCAGUGAGGAGACCUUGGAAAUCUAUUGUAUUGGAUCAGUACUUAUCCCUAGCAUAGGAAUGGACUUUGGGAGCCCAUCCCACAUGGAGGGAUACUCCCUGAGCCUAGACACAAGGGUGUUAGCCUAGGCCCUAUCCCAAAGAAUAAGACAGACUUUGAAGACCCCCCUAUGGAAGGCCUCACCCUCCCUUGGGAGAAGAAAGAGUAUGGGAUAGGUAGGGUGUUAGUUGGGGGGGGGCAGGGGAGGAGGGGAAGGAAAGGGACCUGGGAUUGACAUGUAAAAUAAUUUUCUUUGUAAUUAAAAUAAAAAAAUAAAAAGAUCUCUCUCCCUUUCCUAUCAAUUGUGAACUGUGUAUAAAUCCUCAGGGAGGGAUGGGAUCCCAUAAGUCCUGACCUCAUGACAGGGUAUCAGUGGGCUCAGUCUUGUCCAGCUGAUGACGUGUCGUGUCAGUUCAAGUGUACAACAGCC